CCGAGUUUACAACUCCCAAACCCCUGUGAACAUACCUAUACGUUGCCUCGGCGGAUCAGCCCGCGCCCCGUAAAAAGGGACGGCCCGCCCGAGGACCCCUAAACUCUGUUUUUAGUGGAACUUCUGAGUAAACAAACAAAUAAAUCA
This 147-nucleotide unclassified non-coding RNA is filed under the name soil metagenome. RNAcentral's name for it is "partial internal transcribed spacer 1". The record is from RNAcentral.